Molecule: unclassified non-coding RNA, 932 nt
Filed under: Rhodotorula toruloides
Lineage: Eukaryota; Fungi; Basidiomycota; Microbotryomycetes; Sporidiobolales; Sporidiobolaceae
Source: RNAcentral
UUCAUCAGAAACUGCUGGCUUGAGCUCUAGAACACGCUCACGAUCCAGCAAACGACGCUAUACGACGCAGAAUCGCCGAAUAGACGCCAGCCUCGCCUCGCGAGCGGCUUUCGGGUUGUUGGAUGCCCGAUUGACGAAGACGGCGAUAGUCCCGUCGACGCCUCGCAGCACAGCGCCAGCUGUAGGAUCCUCUAGAGUCCACGACCGCUCGCUCGUACGGCUGUAUGACCCGCAGGUGUGGCGCCGUGUCCCGGGACGCGCCUUUCCAAACCCUCACCCGCUUCGACGUCCCCGUCAUCGCGCCCGUCGCCGCGCCCGCCAACUGCCGCAUGGUCGUCGACCAUCUGCUGCUCGAUGGUAUCCAUUCGGACGUCGCUGGCGGAUCUACCGAGGCUGCCGAAGUGCGUCGCGUUCGAUCCUUCGCUGCUGACGCUGCUUGAGGUGCUGGGCGGAGCAGGGAUGAGGGAGGCAUCGAAGGCUGGAGCUUCGUCGAUCUCUGGCACAUCCAGGACUGGGAUGACAACGCCGCUGGGGCUUGUGUCACCCCCCGGAGACGGAAUCGAGGGAGGGACGCUCGACGACCGCCCGAAGAAACGGUGGAAGGCGCUGCUGAGCAUGCUGACCGUUGUGGACGGCAUUGAGGCUGUUCUCUGGGCCUGCAGGGUGGCAGAGCUGCUUAGCGAGUGAUGGGACGACCUCUACCCCGGACCGCUCCUCGCUCGCGCUGAUUCGGCUCUCGCUCUCGACGCUCAUCGCUCGUCCCUGCUGGUUCUUUGCUCUGGACGCGUAUCUCUUGUGCUUUCUCCCAGCGAUCCGCUCUUCCAGCCUCCCGCCGUUCGUGUCGUUGCUUCCGACGGGCCUGCAGUUUGAUGAAGAAUGAACGAGGUCGUAGACUGUAGACACGCAGAUUGUUGCAAUGCCAGUACGUUCAC